GCUCCCAUGGCCUAGAGGUUAGAGCAUCCGCCUUGGAUGCGGAAGUUCAUGGGUCCGAUCUACGGUGGAGUCA
Non-coding RNA from Potamilus streckersoni, 73 nucleotides. NCBI's taxonomy places the organism in Eukaryota, Metazoa, Mollusca, Bivalvia, Unionida, Unionidae. The record is from the annotation of a GenBank genome assembly.